AGAGUUUGAUCAUGGCUCAGGAUGAACGCUGGCGGCGUGCUUAACACAUGCAAGUCGAGCGAAGCACUUACUUUGGAUUUCUUCGGAAUGACGAGGUAUUUGACUGAGCGGCGGACGGGUGAGUAACGCGUGGGCAACCUGCCUCACACAGGGGGAUAACAGUUAGAAAUGACUGCUAAUACCGCAUAACAUCUUAGUAUCGCAUGGUACUGAGAUCAAAGGAGCAAUCCGCUGAGAGAUGGACUCGCGUCCGAUUAGCUAGUUGGCGGGAUAAAGGCCCACCAAGGCGACGAUCGGUAGCCGG
Molecule: ribosomal RNA, 304 nt
Filed under: uncultured bacterium
Lineage: Bacteria
Description: bacterial SSU rRNA
Rfam family: Bacterial small subunit ribosomal RNA
Source: RNAcentral